UUUUCUUCCCGAGCUGGCAAUCAUCUUUGAGAGAAGUCAUUGAAACCCUGGAUUUCCAUGAGUCUCCAUGGUGGAUAGUUUUUUGAGCGUAAGGAAAGAACAAAAGAGAGAGGGAAAGAAAUGGUUGUCGUUGCAACAGAGUAUCUGGUUGCUCCGACUAGGCGUCAAUUUGCGUACUGUAAUGUUUGAUGAGAGCUCAGUAAGGAUCUUCGAGAUGGAGUGGAUGAGAUGAAAGCCAAGAGUUUCCGUUGGUGAGGCCGAGUUGAUGUUAAGAAAUGGUCGGUAGCGUGGGGGCGCAUCACCAUGUUAAGAAAUGGUCGGUAGCGUGGUUUCCGAACCCCAGGGCCCGGUUCUUGAUCGGUAUGGAUUGGAGGAAGAUGAUUUGGGUCUUUAUGGGGCUUUCUGUGGAAAGCUGGAAGAGUUGCCUCCAGAAGUUUUACCAGUGUACUCGGAUGGUCAUUGGCAUCGCUUUUGCCGCAAGAUCAGAUGCCUUGGAGUCCAGGACUGCAAUCAACAGUGUCAUUGUGAUGGGAGUGUAUCGACAGCUACUGGAUGAUGUAAAAAGGCUACUUAUGGAAGAGAAGCUGUUCGAUGUUUUUGUUGAGGUGACUUUAUUACUUCACAGAUGUGCUGUUCUUAAAGGGCUCGUGGAGAAUUCUCUUAUGCAUUGAGCUUGAAGCUGAUUAAUGAUGAAACUGCACUUGGAACUGUGGAUCUUCUUCAGAAGAAGUUCGAAGAUGACUCAAUGAGGAAAAUGCUCAUCAUGUAUCAGCAUCUAGUAAAGGAAGAGAAGUCGUUUGAUGUGAAAAAAAAGUCUUUUGAUGUUCAAUAUGGAUGUCAAGGCAAUUUUACCACAUCAAAGACAUGCACAUAUAGAAUUCAUGGAGAAUUCUUUUAUGCAUUGGAUUUGAAGUUGACUAAUGAGGAAACUGUACUUGGAAUUGCGGAUCUUCUUCGAAAGAGCUUAGGAGAUGAUCUGAAGUGGAAAAUUGUCAUCAUUUAGAUGACAUAGGAAGAUCCUAUAAAUAAAGGAUGAGGAUGCAAGUUGUUGUUGACAUGUAGAUUUAGAUAAAUUACUCGUCCAUUGGGCUUGAAGUUGGUUAAUAAGGAAAACAUAUUCGGAUUUAUGGAUCUUCUAAGUAAGAGGUUAGAGAGUGAUCAUAAGAAGAAAAAUCUCAUAAUUUUCGAUAAUUUGUACACUAAAGUACCACUAGGAAAUGAUAAAAAAACAAUAGGUUGUAAGUUAUUGCGAUAUGAUGAAAUCUAGAUAUUUUGUGCAUUGAUGUGGGCUCUUGGACCAAGAGUUUAUACUCCAUGAGUUGAAGGAUAUCAGCAAUGAUUACGAGUCGAAACACAGUGCUCAAGAAUUGUGCAAGCAUGCCUUUGGCAGCAUAAACAUUGAAGCAUGGGAGUCCAAUUGCUUAGAGGAUAGAUGUAAACUUGAUAGUAGUAUUGAGCUAGAAGGAUUUGGAAGAUAUUGUUCUUAAGCAUUGGCCUUCUUGGUGGAACAACCUCAAUCAAGAUCCUAUCAUCUUGGAACAUUUAAAGAUUUCAAUAAUAGCAAUAGCAUAGAGGGCGCUAGGUAUAAGCCGACUGAAGAUCUAAACACCUUGCCGGCCUCUUCUUUGUUGCUUGGAUAAUGAUGACAGGUGAGGAGGAAUGAUCAUGGGGGUAAAGAGUCGCCAAAUGAUGAAGCUCAAAGAAAUAUGCUGGGAUACUUUCCUCUUCUGUACAGAAGUUACUUAUGUCUGGCUUUUUCAGGUUUCCUUGUUGUGUUUGUGAGUCUUUGGCAUUGUUUGAGCUUCCCAAACCGAAAGGGAUGUGGAAACUAUCUAUUUGCAUCGGAUUUUACAAUGUGCAAUUGCCUUUGCAAAUUUUGGGUUUGCCAUUGCCUUGACUUCAUUUUUCAAGUGGAAGGCACGAAAAGGCAGGGUAUUCCUGAGUAAACAAUGUAUAGCUCAGAUUGUGUCAUGCUUACAUUUUCUUUCUUUCUGGUUUUUUGGCAAUUUUUCAGUUUGAUCAGAUACCUUAGAAAGCAUUUGAACUCUUCCCUGCUGAAUUAGAUCAUCGGAUUAUCUUGUUUUGUACUCAAGAUCAUUGAAAGCUGAUGCACACAUAGCCCUUAUAAACAUGAGGGCAUAUGAGCACAA
This is a long non-coding RNA of Eucalyptus grandis, 2150 nucleotides long. RefSeq lists it as uncharacterized. NCBI's taxonomy places the organism in Eukaryota, Viridiplantae, Streptophyta, Magnoliopsida, Myrtales, Myrtaceae. The transcript has 2 exons. The record is from RefSeq and is a predicted model, not a curated record.